UACGGGGGGGGUAAGCGUUGUUCGGAAUUACUGGGCGUAAAGGGCUCGUAGGCGGCCAACUAAGUCAGACGUGAAAUCCCUCAGCUUAACUGGGGAACUGCGUCUGAUACUGGAUGGCUUGGAUUCGGGAGAGGAAUGCGGAAUUCCGGGUGUAGCGGUGGAAUGCGUAGAGAUCCGGAAGAACACCGGUGGCGAAGGCGGCCUGCUGGGCAGUUGCUGACACUGAGGCGCGACAGCGUGGGGAGCAAACAGG
Molecule: ribosomal RNA, 253 nt
Filed under: uncultured bacterium
Lineage: Bacteria
Description: partial 16S ribosomal RNA
Rfam family: Bacterial small subunit ribosomal RNA
Source: RNAcentral